UCCUGCUGGCUCCAGCUUGGGAACAGCCAAAACCCCAGACGGUGGGAGCUGGAGAUGCUGAGAUUCAGGCAGACACCCGGAUACCUGUAGACGCCCUGUGGAGGCUGGAGUCACUGCGGGUAGUGCAGCCAGAGGAACCCGGAGACCGUGAAGAUGUCCAGGCCACAGCAUCAGGGGAUAUGGUAGAAAGAAGUCCAGGAAAACUAGGCAGUGGACCGAUUAAGCUCCUUGGGAAGAAGGCAUUGGCAUUGGCUGAGAUUCCUGAAAGAGGAGUUUGCCUGCAUGCUGUUAAUCACUGAUAGUCAAGUCUAAGUGCUUAGACCUGCUGUGGGACAAUGUUUCUGUGGAAGAGUCUGCGCAGCCUGCACUAGCAGUGAGCUUCCCCCACUGAGAGCUGAGACCACUGAGAGCUGAGUGGAACCUCAAGAGACCAACUUGCAGAGGUCACAGUGGCAGAUGCAGAAGUUGACGGCGCAGGGCCAAGGGCAAUGAAGCGGUGGAGUGAACGAUGGCACGACGAACAACAGUGGCCAAAGCGAGCAACCAGUGGCUGGAAGAACAAGCAAGGUGUCUUCUGCCCUCCCCCCGCAAUUGGAGGUGAACUCACGUGAAAGCACCCCUUAACUCUGGGUCUCCACUGACCAAGGACCACAACGCAGAUCAAAGUGAAAAUGAAAAGACAAAAAACAAUGCAACCGUUUUUCCACUCUAAGGCCUCAAAAAUCAACCAAGAUGAAGAACACACUAAGAACAAAGAAUAUACCAACAUGUCAUCUGAAGGCUCACAUGGUAUAUUAACAUCUGAACAGCCUGAAGCACAAAUACAGCUACCUACUUAAGAAACAGCGUCUCCAAAACCUAAAGGCAGUUCCCAGUGUUUGUCAAUCAAAGUUUCCCAUUUACUGAAGUUACAAAAGAUGGUUACUGGUGCACUUCUUGCAAAACUCUUCCAAAGAAGGAAAGCUUCCCAAAGCUACAACUGGUAAAAGUGGUCAGGAGCUUGGUUUGCCAGACCGAUCAUCAAAGCCAAUACUGACAAACUACAUGAAAAGGCUGAAAAACACCAAGCCCCUAAGAAAGCCUUAUAAGCCAAUCACUGUCAAAGCCAAUUUCAGUAGUACCCAAUGAGGCUGUUAAGAAUGCUGGAUACACAACACAGUUUAUUCGAACAAACAUGGCUGUUGCUUCAUACUUUCUUUUUAAGCAAGAGAUACCCCAUACUACACACUGGAGGCCAAUGUUAAGUGCAUUGUCACUUGUUAGGCCUUGGCUACACUUGCGAGUUACAGCGCUGUAAAGCCGCCCACAGCGCUGUACCUCACUGACCGGCUACACUGGCAAGGCAUAUACAGCGCUGUAUCUCCCUGGGUACACCACUGCAGGUACUCCACCUCCCCGAGAAGUAUAAGAGAUACAGGGGAGUGGCUACGACUCCCCCCUGUGAGUGUGUACCAGGAAUCAACCUGCAGCGCUGUACUGAUCACCUUGUCAAGUGGCCAAUCCUCUCCAUUGUUGUGACCCGCCGCAGGAAUGCGGAAGUGCCGGUUUCAAAUCUCGUACCACAGAGAAAAAGCAAACAGUUUGCUGUUUGCUUUGAGUGAGUGAAUGAAUGAGCAGGGGGCCGGGAGUUUGGAACUUGCAAAAUAGAGUGCUGACACUCCAAAAAGCACUCUCUUCCCUCACACUCCCUAGCACACUCCACCUCCCCC
This is a long non-coding RNA of Malaclemys terrapin pileata, 1709 nucleotides long. RefSeq lists it as uncharacterized. The transcript is spliced from 3 exons. The record is from RefSeq and is a predicted model, not a curated record. NCBI's taxonomy places the organism in Eukaryota, Metazoa, Chordata, Testudines, Emydidae.